RNAcentral lists this ribosomal RNA (471 nucleotides) under uncultured bacterium. Its description in RNAcentral is "bacterial SSU rRNA". It matches the Rfam family "Bacterial small subunit ribosomal RNA", at positions 27 to 507 of the family's 1533-position model. The record is from RNAcentral.
GGACGAACGCUGGCGGCGUGCUUAACACAUGCAAGUCGAACGAUGAAAGCGGGAGCUUGCUCCUGCUGGAUUAGUGGCGAACGGGUGAGUAACACGUGAGCAAUCUGCCCCGAACUCUGGGAUAAGCGUUGGAAACGACGUCUAAUACCGGAUACGACGCGCGAAGGCAUCUUCUGCGCGUGGAAAGAAUUUCGGUUCGGGAUGAGCUCGCGGCCUAUCAGCUAGUUGGUGAGGUAAUGGCUCACCAAGGCGACGACGGGUAGCCGGCCUGAGAGGGUGACCGGCCACACUGGGACUGAGACACGGCCCAGACUCCUACGGGAGGCAGCAGUGGGGAAUAUUGCACAAUGGGCGCAAGCCUGAUGCAGCAACGCCGCGUGAGGGACGACGGCCUUCGGGUUGUAAACCUCUUUUAGUAGGGAAGAAGCGAAAGUGACGGUACCUGCAGAAAAAGCACCGGCUAACUACGUG